RNAcentral lists this long non-coding RNA (923 nucleotides) under Anser brachyrhynchus (Pink-footed goose). Its description in RNAcentral is "lncRNA (ENSABRG00000010465.1)". Lineage: Eukaryota; Metazoa; Chordata; Aves; Anseriformes; Anatidae. The record is from RNAcentral.
CUUUUUUUUUCCCUUUAUAGCAGUUAGUUUCUCAGCAUAGUCCCUGACCACAAAUACUUUUGAGUGGAACAUCUGGUUCUAAUGUGCGCUCUAGAAAUGUUACUUUCUGCAAUAUCCCACUCCUCCCCCAGAUGAUAUUUUCCCUCUUGUGUUUGCCCAGCAUGGCUUGAAAGCGGAUCAGUAUCUGAAGAAACAAAAGACCCGUCUGAGAACAAAGACUUCAAAAGCCACAAAGUGAUUUCCCAGAGCCUGGGGCAGUUGCAGGAGGAUUAGAAGACACUGAUGUGUUGGCACGCAGUGUGUGAACUUCAAAGGAAAAGAAGGAAAAGCCUUUGAGUAAGGAAAGAAGAGAGAGAGUUUUCCAAGAUAAAACAGUGCACUUGGAGCAGGCCCUGAGAGGCUGCAGUCCAGAUGUGGCUUUCUGACGUGUUGCAUGGUGACGUGACAUCCUGGUGUGACAGAGAGAAGACGAGCCUCAAAAGAGAUGUGGAAUUACCCAACUCAACAUUUGACGCUGCUUUAGUUUUCAGAAGGACUUCAGGCUGAGUGGCAAACUGUCCCACGUCAGGGACAUCAAGUCCAUCAAGGAAGUUCCAGCAAGGAGAUGAUGAUCCUAAAUGCCUGUGCACCCCUGUGGAGACCAGCAGCAAGCUGACUGGGGUGCUGGAAAGCUGGGGGACAUCUCCACCUUUGAAAUGCAUCACUUCUAUGUUGGAGACCAGCUCUAGAGAGCAUACCCUGUGAUUCGGCAGGGCACUGGAUGUGCAUUACACAGGGUCUCCUGAAAUAUGUGACAGCCAGGAAUUGGGAAGGCCAUGCAGGAAAAGCUAGGCAGACUUAGAGUGCUAUAAUUGUGUGCCAAUGCUGAGGUUGAGUUCCCUGAAAUGUACAUAAAGUGAGGCUGUACUUCCUAGAAACCCAGC